This is a non-coding RNA of Thamnophis sirtalis, 1253 nucleotides long. NCBI's taxonomy places the organism in Eukaryota, Metazoa, Chordata, Lepidosauria, Squamata, Natricidae. The record is from RefSeq and is a predicted model, not a curated record.
UAAAACACAUAAAUAAAAAUAAACAAUGCUUGGUUUCCAAAAAGCAUGUGGAAACUCCUUUGAGCCCUCCAUGUUGAAAAAUGAAAAUAAGUGACUUCUGAUUGCUGAAUAUCCUCUUUUCAUUCAUAGAAAACUAGUUAAAAUAAGCUAUGAAACCUUGAAAUAAAUGGAGCAUUUGACAAAAAGCAGGUGAGGGUUUGAUGGAGUCUAUUUUAUCCCCAGCCAUUUUUCUGGUUUGGAUUUAUAUGCUGCAAUAUUGACUUUUUAGAAUAUUUUGGGGGAGUAUUACACCCUGUUUUUUGUAUUGAUUUGGUUUACAACCUAUCUUCGUACUCUGCUAAGUAGUCAAGUCAGUUAAAAAUGUAAAAUAUAUAAAUAAUAGGAUGAUUAAAAUAUUCAUUGUUUUAAAGAUUUCAAAAGAUUAAAAGAUUAAAAUUAACACCCACAUCAUACUAAAAUCAUGUAUUCAUUAAAAACCUAGUCCAAAUGCCCUAAAGACUUGAGGAUCAACCAUAAUAAUCGAAAGGAUGUGUUCCAUGAUCUGUGAGCACCUGAGUGUCAUGCAGUAGAAACCCUGGCCUUUUGUAUGCAUUGACACCACAUACAUAUACAAAGUGCAGCAUCCCCAUCUUUAUGCCUUCCACAUGAGUUGAGCAACGCCUAUCAUCCUAACCAGAUGACAUUUCACAGAAUUAGGCCACCAUCCUCUGGAUUACUGCUGGAAUCCAAAUGAAACGUCCAACCGAAAGCAUUGCUUGAACAUAUCUGGUGAAAAGAGAUCAUACCGGCAAUUGGUAAAAAAAAACAAAAAAACCCCCUUCAGUGCACAUCUUAAGUGGCCUUGAAGUGACUUGCCAUCUUAAAAGCUGUUCUUAGAAUAAAAGGAAUCACUUAGUUUCUUGGUUUCUAACCUGAUGCCUUAACCACUAAACCAAAAUGGGUCUCCAAAUAUGAAUAAAUAUCCUGAUGGUGUAUUCAGGCUUAUAUGGUCUAAGAUGGCUGCCUGAGGAAAAUAUGGAAAAGGCAACGUCUAUACUGAUUAGUACAGGUAAUCCUCGACUUAUAACUAUUUGUUUAGUGUCCAUUCUAAAUUACAAGGGAUUUUAAAAAAUGAUAUCACCUGUUUUCACAUGUAUGUCAGUUGCAUUUGGCAACUGACAUAUAUUUAUGACAGUUACACCAUCCCGGGUAAUGUAAGCUUCCCAGCUAGCUUCCGACAAGCAAAGUCAAUGGGGAAAGCCAGCUUUGCUUCG